GAAAUGCGAUAAGUAAUGUGAAUUGCAGAAUUCAGUGAAUCAUCGAAUCUUUGAACGCACAUUGCGCCCGCCAGUAUUCUGGCGGGCAUGCCUGUUCGAGCGUCAUUUCAACCAUCAAGCCCCCGGCUUGUAUUGGGGACCUGCGGCUGCCCGCAGGCCCUGAAAAACAGUGGCGGGCUCGCUGUCACACCGAGCGUAGUAGCAUACAUUCUCGCUCAGGGCGUGCUGCGGGUUCCGGCCGUUAAACGACCUUCAUAACCCAAGGUUGACCUCGGAUCAGGUAGGAAGACCCGCUGAACUUAAGC
RNAcentral lists this unclassified non-coding RNA (305 nucleotides) under plant metagenome. RNAcentral describes it as "partial contains 5.8S ribosomal RNA, internal transcribed spacer 2, and large subunit ribosomal RNA". The stretch from base 1 to 105 matches the Rfam family "5.8S ribosomal RNA", at positions 50 to 154 of the family's 154-position model. The record is from RNAcentral.